CCACGAUCAUAAACUUCUACCAUAGGCAAGGGGAGCCUAUAUAUAUUUUUGGAGGAGCAUUGAUUUGAGCAUAAAUCGGCAAAAUUGUAUGAAAUUCAAAAUUCAAACAUCAAUUUAAUUUUUGUUUCUAUUGUUGAUUACGCUUACGUGAUUACAACCAAUCAUCAAUGCGGCCUCAAAGUAUUGUUUUCCGCUCCGCGCUCUACAUUUGAUCGCAUUUAAUUUGAUCGGGAAUUUACCGCAUCGCACAAUAUUUAUGAAUCCAAAAGAGUGAAAACCAUGAAAAUUUCUACAAAACAAAGAGAAUAUUGGGUCAAAUCAGUACUUGGAAUAUCAUAAUAAUAACAAAAUUCAUCAAUAAAAAAUCUUUCAAAUAUAUAGGAGAUAAUUAAACUAA
Long non-coding RNA from Bombus terrestris (buff-tailed bumblebee), 397 nucleotides. RefSeq lists it as uncharacterized. NCBI's taxonomy places the organism in Eukaryota, Metazoa, Arthropoda, Insecta, Hymenoptera, Apidae. The record is from RefSeq and is a predicted model, not a curated record. The transcript has 2 exons.